RNAcentral lists this ribosomal RNA (502 nucleotides) under uncultured bacterium. RNAcentral describes it as "partial 16S ribosomal RNA". It matches the Rfam family "Bacterial small subunit ribosomal RNA", at positions 28 to 507 of the family's 1533-position model. The record is from RNAcentral.
GACGAACGCUGGCGGCGUGCUUAACACAUGCCAGUCGAACGGUGAAGGGGUCUGCUUUUGUGGGCCCUGGAUGAGUGGCGAACGGGUGAGUAACACGUGAGUAACCUGCCCCCUUCUUCUGGAUAACCGCAUGAAAGUGUGGCUAAUACGGGAUAUUCUGGGUCUGUCGCAUGAUGGGUCUGGGAAAGAUUGCGCCUUUGGGUGUUUUUGGUGGGGGAUGGGCUCGCGGCCUAUCAGCUUGUUGGUGGGGUGAUGGCCUACCAAGGCGGUGACGGGUAGCCGGCCUGAGAGGGUGGAUGGUCACACUGGGACUGAGACACGGCCCAGACUCCUACGGGAGGCAGCAGUGGGGAAUAUUGCACAAUGGGCGCAAGCCUGAUGCAGCGACGCCGCGUGAGGGAUGGAGGCCUUCGGGUUGUAAACCUCUUUCGCCAGUGAAGCAGGCCUGCUCCUUGUGGGUGGGUUGACGGUAGCUGGAUAAGAAGCGCCGGCUAACUACGUG